This 194-nucleotide small nuclear RNA is filed under the name Oryza sativa Indica Group (long-grained rice). Its description in RNAcentral is "U2 spliceosomal RNA". The record is from RNAcentral. Lineage: Eukaryota; Viridiplantae; Streptophyta; Magnoliopsida; Poales; Poaceae.
UUUUCCACCCGGUUUUUUUAUCGGACAGAUUUGGUUUUUUUGGUCUGGUUUUUUUGACGUACGAUGGAAACACCUCUUAUUUUUUUAUUUUUUAAGUAGUAGAGAUGUGGGAGGGUUCAUUAUAGUGGCUUGACAUUGGAACCCUCAUGUGUCGCUCAAGUGUUGCACUAUAGCAUGAGCUUGGCGCCCCCCAA